GACGAACGCUGGCGGCGUGCCUAAUACAUGCAAGUCGAGCGGACUGAUUAAGAGCUUGCUCUUAUGACGUUAGCGGCGGACGGGUGAGUAACACGUGGGCAACCUGCCCUGUAGAUCGGGAUAACACCGAGAAAUCGGUGCUAAUACCGGGUAAUAUCUGAGAUCACAUGAUCUUAGGUUAAAAGAUGGCUCCGGCUAUCACUACGGGAUGGGCCCGCGGCGCAUUAGCUAGUUGGUAAGGUAAUGGCUUACCAAGGCGACGAUGCGUAGCCGACCUGAGAGGGUGAUCGGCCACACUGGGACUGAGACACGGCCCAGACUCCUACGGGAGGCAGCAGUAGGGAAUCUUCCGCAAUGGACGAAAGUCUGACGGAGCAACGCCGCGUGAGUGAUGAAGGGUUUCGGCCCGUAAAGCUCUGUUGUUAGGGAAGAAACAGUACCGAACGAACUAGGUCGGUACCUUGACGGUACCUAACCAGAAAGCCACGGCUAACUACGUG
Molecule: ribosomal RNA, 500 nt
Filed under: uncultured bacterium
Lineage: Bacteria
Description: partial 16S ribosomal RNA
Rfam family: Bacterial small subunit ribosomal RNA
Source: RNAcentral